This is a long non-coding RNA of Globicephala melas (long-finned pilot whale), 1412 nucleotides long. RefSeq lists it as uncharacterized. The record is from RefSeq and is a predicted model, not a curated record. NCBI's taxonomy places the organism in Eukaryota, Metazoa, Chordata, Mammalia, Artiodactyla, Delphinidae.
UUCAUGUAAAUACUAUCAUGCACUCUCUGGCCUUUUGCGUCUGGCUUCUUUCACUUAGCAUGUUUUCAAGGUUCAUCUACUUUGGAGCAGCUAUUAGCACUUCAUUCCUUUUUGUGGCUGAAUAAUAUUCCAUUGUUUGUAUAUACUACACUCCAUUCAUCCAUUCAUCUGUUGAUAGACGUUUGGGUUGUUUCUGCCUUUUGGCUGCCGUGAAUAGUAUUGCCAUGCAUAUUCCUGUACAGGUAUUUGAGUACCUCUUUUCAGUUCUUUUGGAUAUAUACCCAGGUGUGGGGUUGCUCAGUCAUCUGGUAAUUCUGUGUGUAACUAUUUGAGGAGUCUUUUUUGAUUCUUGACACUGCAUUUCAAGGAGAUAUUAUCCAACUUUUAUAGGAAAGAAGAUGAGAGCUCUGAUUGAUAGGACUCAUUUCUUCAAAGUCACCCAGUGCUGUGGUCUGAAUGUUUUGUGUCCCCUCCAAAAUUCGUACAUUCAUAUCUUGAAAUCCUAAUGCCCAAUGUGAUGGUGUUAGGAGGUGGGGCCAUUGGGAGGUGAGCCCUUAUGUAUAGGAUUAGUGCCCUUUUAAAAGCAGGUCCAGCAAGAUCCCUAGCCCUGUAGCCAAGUGAGGACAAAAUAAGAAGUCUGUGACCUGGAAGAGGGCUCUCACCCAACCCUGCUGGCACCUUGAUCUCAGACUUACACGUUCCAGAACUGUGAGAAAUCAACUUCUUUUUUUAUCAGCCAUCCAGUCUUUGGUAUUUCGUUAUAGCAUCCCAAGUGGCCCAAGACCCCCAGCCAGAGAGCAGUACAGCUGGAAGUCACAGCACCUCACAUGCCCACUCUUCCAUCUCAUCCUCCCCAAAAUACCUGAGAUAGAUGGUUGCCGUUUUCAGAUGAAGAAACAGUCCCAUAAGUUAAGUGACUUGCUGAGGAUACAAUUAAUUUCAGGAGAUGUUUUCAUUCCAUUUAGAAACCAGACCUUAUCAUUGAUUAUUUAGAUGUGUUUCUUUUCCUUUCCUUAGGCCUUACAAUCUGGUGACAUGCCAAGAGAAUGCAAUGGGAUCAGAUCCCUAUGUUGAAACCCUAAGCCCCAAUGUGGCUGAAGAUGGAGCCUCUAAAGAACUUAUGAGGGAAAUACGAUUGUCAAUACCUCCGCUUUUCAGAAGAGGAAACUGAGCUAUGAAGAUAACUUGCCCAGGGUCACAUAUCUGGCGGUCACAAAGCACCGAGCUGAUCUCCCUCUGCUAUGCGGCUCAUGUUAUUUUAAUUUUUUUAAUGGAAUCCAUGUAGAUUUAGGAGUAAGAAAGACCUAGUUUGCUAUCCAAGCUCCACCACUGGUUUGCUUACUAGUAAAAUGAGUAUAUCUAUGUCAACUUUGCUGGGUUGUUUUGGGAGUUAAAAGAGACUGGCGUUUCUU